This 292-nucleotide non-coding RNA is filed under the name Otolemur garnettii (small-eared galago). Lineage: Eukaryota; Metazoa; Chordata; Mammalia; Primates; Galagidae. The record is from Rfam by way of RNAcentral.
GCUGAGUGUUGUAGUGGGUGCCUGUAGUCCCAGCUAUUUGGGAGGCUGAGGCAAGAGGAUCACUUGAGCCCAAGAGUUUGAGGUUGCUAUGAGCUAUGAUGCCAUGGCACUCUACUGAGGGUGGCAUAGUGAGAUUCUGUCUCAAAAAAAGCCUGAAAUCUGAAAUGUUCCAAAAAAAAAAUUUUUUUUUUUUUGAGACAGAGUCUCAACCUGCUACCCUCUGUAGAGUGUUGUGGUGUCACAGCUCACAGCAACCUCAAACUCUUGGGCUAAAGUGAUCCUCUUGCCUCAG